GUUGCUAGGAUACGUGGAGCGGGCGGUGUGUGGGCAGCUGCAGGCAGCGCUGUGGAGAUGGUGCCGCGGGCUCGGACUGCCCGGUGAGGUGGAGGUGGGAGCGGCAGGGCCCCGGGCCCGGACCCGGACCAGGCCGGAUAAUCCGCGCACCCAGUCAGCCUGGGUCCGGAGAGGGCCUGCCCCGGCCUGCCGAGUUAGAUGGUGUUGGAGCUGAAUGUCCCGGAGAGUGCGU
Non-coding RNA from Pelobates cultripes (western spadefoot toad), 232 nucleotides. The record is from the annotation of a GenBank genome assembly. Lineage: Eukaryota; Metazoa; Chordata; Amphibia; Anura; Pelobatidae.